RNAcentral lists this long non-coding RNA (1023 nucleotides) under Marmota monax (woodchuck). The record is from RNAcentral. Lineage: Eukaryota; Metazoa; Chordata; Mammalia; Rodentia; Sciuridae.
ACUCUAUUUCUGAUAAACUACCCCCUCUCAGGUAGUUUGCUCUAACAAUAGAAAAUAGACUGCCACCCACCCGGGAGCACCAGGCUACCGCAGGCCUGGCAUCCUCCUCUUCCUUGGUCACUCCCCCAGGGCAGAGCACUCUGCCCCAGUGUCCCAGGAACCCUUCCCAACAAGCAGUAGCCUCAGGACACAAAUAUUUUCCCAGAGAGAAAACCAGGGCCAGAACAGAGGUGUGAAAACAAGAACGCAUUUCUAAGCGGCUGGUCAUCACUAAUAAGUCAACAAUUCCUGGACAAACACAGCCACUCUGGCCCAAGCCUGGGCUCCAUCCCCCUCCUUACCUCUGCCAGAGCCCCCUCCCCUCCUGCAGUCCCCAGCUCCUGACAGCCCAGCCAUCUGCAGCUCACUCACUAGGGCUCCAAUUAGCUCAGUAAUUAGCACCUCAUCAGGCCUGUCUGCCUGUGAACAGUUCCCCUGGGUAGGGGUUUCAGGAGGUCGCCACACCUUGGGCCCCAAAGCUGGGGCAAGUCCAGGCUGGCCAGGCCCCAGUCAGCCUCCCUGCUCCCACAGGUGGCUCCCAGAAUAGGAUAGGGGGCCAAGGAAUCCCUCAGGGCAUGGGAUACUGGGCUGCAGGGGGAGGAUGGGCCCAGGACAAGGCUUAACUCCGUGGUCUCUGGGACCCUCAGUCAGCACCCAAACACCUUGCUCAGCCAUCUCUGCUCCUUUGGUGAUCCUGGAGGCUGGGGUGUCAAAGAGAUGGGAAAGACCCAAGUGGGGUCAAGUCAGCAUGUGGCAGGAGGCUACUCUUCAAAGUCCCUACAGGUGGCUUUGUGUAGCCCAGGGUCUGAAAGGAGCUCAGCUCAUCCUUUCAGGACCCUCAGACUUCCCGCCUUGGUGUCAUUCCUUUCUGCCCUAGACUCUGCAGCCACACCCCUUGAAGACCUCUCAGUCACUGGACUCAAUCCUUCCCCGCCAGUCCCUUGAAGUGGGUUGAGUGCCCUCCACACUGGCCAAAGGCGGCUG